This 492-nucleotide ribosomal RNA is filed under the name uncultured bacterium. RNAcentral's name for it is "partial 16S ribosomal RNA". It matches the Rfam family "Bacterial small subunit ribosomal RNA", at positions 28 to 507 of the family's 1533-position model. The record is from RNAcentral.
GAUGAACGCUAGCUACAGGCUUAACACAUGCAAGUCGAGGGGAAACGACAUCGAAAGCUUGCUUUUGAUGGGCGUCGACCGGCGCACGGGUGAGUAACGCGUAUCCAACCUGCCCACCACUUGGGGAUAACCUUGCGAAAGUAAGACUAAUACCCAAUGACGUCUCUAGAAGACAUCUGAAAGAGAUUAAAGAUUUAUCGGUGAUGGAUGGGGAUGCGUCUGAUUAGCUUGUUGGCGGGGUAACGGCCCACCAAGGCGACGAUCAGUAGGGGUUCUGAGAGGAAGGUCCCCCACAUGGGAACUGAGACACGGUCCAAACUCCUACGGGAGGCAGCAGUGAGGAAUAUUGGUCAAUGGACGAGAGUCUGAACCAGCCAAGUAGCGUGCAGGAUGACGGCCCUAUGGGUUGUAAACUGCUUUUAUAAGGGAAUAAAGUGAGUCUCGUGAGACUUUUUGCAUGUACCUUAUGAAUAAGGACCGGCUAAUUCCGUG